This is a long non-coding RNA of Oncorhynchus tshawytscha (Chinook salmon), 516 nucleotides long. The record is from Ensembl. Lineage: Eukaryota; Metazoa; Chordata; Actinopteri; Salmoniformes; Salmonidae.
CUGAUGGCUUAGACCCUUUCUUAUCCAUUUGUGUUGAUUUGGCACUCGAGCAUCAAUACAUUACCCAUCCCCCAACACUGUCAACCAGGAGUCAAGACUGCAUUACCCAUCCCCCAACACUGUCAACCAGGAGUCAAGACUACAUUACCCAUCCCCCAACACUGUCAACCAAGAGUCAAGACUACAUUACCCAUCCCCCAACACUGUCAACCAAGAGUCAAGACUACAUUACCCAUCCCCCAACACUGUCAACCAAGAGUCAAGACUGCAUUACCCAUCCCCCAACACUGUCAACCAGGAGUCAAGACUACAUUACCCAUCCUCCAACACUGUCAACCAAGAGUCAAGACUGCAUUACCCAUCCCCCAACACUGUCAACCAGGAGUCAAGACUACAUUACCCAUCCCCCAACACUGUCAACCAAGAGUCAAGACUACAUUACCCAUCCCCCAACACUGUCAACCAAGAGUCAAGACUACAUUACCCAUCCCCCAACACUGUCAACCAAGAGUCAAG